Molecule: transfer RNA, 65 nt
Filed under: Curculionoidea sp. 18 KM-2017
Lineage: Eukaryota; Metazoa; Arthropoda; Insecta; Coleoptera
Description: tRNA-His
Source: RNAcentral
AUUUAGGUAGUUUAUUUUAAAAUAUUAAUUUGUGGAAUUAAAGAUGUAAAGAUUUACCUUAAGUA